RNAcentral lists this ribosomal RNA (114 nucleotides) under uncultured eukaryote. RNAcentral's name for it is "partial small subunit ribosomal RNA". It matches the Rfam family "Bacterial small subunit ribosomal RNA", at positions 1412 to 1525 of the family's 1533-position model. The record is from RNAcentral.
UGUCCGAUCCUGAAGUCGGUGCGCUAACCGCAAGGAGGCAGCCGCCCACGGAACGGGGGAUGAUUGGGGUGAAGUCGUAACAAGGUAGCCGUAGGUGAACCUGCAGAAGGAUCA